This 253-nucleotide ribosomal RNA is filed under the name uncultured bacterium. Its description in RNAcentral is "partial 16S ribosomal RNA". It matches the Rfam family "Bacterial small subunit ribosomal RNA", at positions 524 to 776 of the family's 1533-position model. The record is from RNAcentral.
UACGAAGGGUGCAAGCGUUACUCGGAAUCACUGGGCGUAAAGCGCACGUAGGCGGAUUUGCCAGUCAGGGGUGAAAUCCCGGGGCUCAACCUGGGAAUUGCAUCCAAAACUGUCUGACUAGAGUACGGUAGAGGGUGGUGGAAUUUCCUGUGUAGCGGUGAAAUGCGUAGAUAUCACGAGGAACACCGGAGGUGUAGACGGGUGACUGGACGGAGACUGACGCUGAGGCGCGAAAGCCGGGGGAGCGAACGGG